This 253-nucleotide ribosomal RNA is filed under the name uncultured bacterium. RNAcentral's name for it is "partial 16S ribosomal RNA". It matches the Rfam family "Bacterial small subunit ribosomal RNA", at positions 524 to 776 of the family's 1533-position model. The record is from RNAcentral.
GACGAAGGGGGCUAGCGUUGUUCGGAAUUACUGGGCGUAAAGCGCGUGUAGGCGGUCGUGCAAGUCGGGUGUGAAAGCCCUGGGCUCAACCCAGGAAGUGCAUUCGAUACUGCGCGACUGGAGUCCCGGAGAGGAUGGUGGAACUCUCGGUGUAGAGGUGAAAUUCGUAGAUAUCGAGAAGAACACCGGUGGCGAAGGCGGCCAUCUGGACGGUGACUGACGCUGAGACGCGAAAGCGUGGGGAGCAAACAGG